UACGAGAGCCUCGAGCGUUAUCCGGAAUUAUUGGGCGUACAGGGUGCGUAGGUUGUUCUGUUAGUCUUUUGUUAAAGCCCCGAGCUUAACUCGGUAUAUGCGGGAGAAACGGCAGAACUUGAAAGUGUGAGAGGCGUACGGAACUCAUGGUGUAGGGGUGAAAUCCGUUGAUAUCAUGGGGAACACCAAAUGCGAAGGCAGUACGCUGGCGCAUAUUUGACACUGAAGCACGAAAGCGUGGGUAGCGAAUGAG
RNAcentral lists this ribosomal RNA (253 nucleotides) under uncultured bacterium. RNAcentral's name for it is "partial 16S ribosomal RNA". It matches the Rfam family "Bacterial small subunit ribosomal RNA", at positions 524 to 776 of the family's 1533-position model. The record is from RNAcentral.